CAUGCAAGUCGAGGGGCAGCAUGAUUGAAGCUUGCUUCAAUUGAUGGCGACCGGCGCACGGGUGAGUAACGCGUAUCCAACCUUCCGCUUACUCGGGGAUAGCCUUUCGAAAGAAAGAUUAAUACCCGAUGGUAUGAUGAGAUUGCAUGAUAGCAUCAUUAAAGAUUUAUUGGUAAGCGAUGGGGAUGCGUUCCAUUAGGUAGUAGGCGGGGUAACGGCCCACCUAGCCGACGAUGGAUAGGGGUUCUGAGAGGAAGGUCCCCCACAUUGGAACUGAGACACGGUCCAAACUCCUACGGGAGGCAGCAGUGAGGAAUAUUGGUCAAUGGACGAGAGUCUGAACCAGCCAAGUAGCGUGAAGGAUGAAGGUCCUACGGAUUGUAAACUUCUUUUAUAAGGGAAUAAAACCUCCCACGUGUGGGAGCUUGUAUGUACCUUAUGAAUAAGCAUCGGCUAACUCCGUGCCAGCAGCCGCGGUAAUACGGAGGAUGCGAGCGUUAUCCGGAUUUAUUGGGUUUAAAGGGAGCGCAGACGGGUCGUUAAGUCAGCUGUGAAAGUUUGGGGCUCAACCUUAAAAUUGCAGUUGAUACUGGCGUCCUUGAGUGCGGUUGAGGUGUGCGGAAUUCGUGGUGUAGCGGUGAAAUGCUUAGAUAUCACGAAGAACUCCGAUUGCGAAGGCAGCACACUAAGCCGUAACUGACGUUCAUGCUCGAAAGUGUGGGUAUCAAACAGGAUUAGAUACCCUGGUAGUCCACACGGUAAACGAUGGAUACUCGCUGUUGGCGAUAUACGGUCAGCGGCUUAGCGAAAGCGUUAAGUAUCCCACCUGGGG
RNAcentral lists this ribosomal RNA (832 nucleotides) under uncultured bacterium. RNAcentral describes it as "bacterial SSU rRNA". It matches the Rfam family "Bacterial small subunit ribosomal RNA", at positions 54 to 878 of the family's 1533-position model. The record is from RNAcentral.